GCUGGAGUCAGUUGCUUGCUUUGUGAAGAGGAAAGAGUCAGUGCUCUGAGGAGAUGCCCAUGAGAAACACCAACAAGGGUUUAGGCUGGGUGCUGGCAGCAGCUGCAGUGGAGGAAGGAACAUUCCUGAAGGAAAAGGAGGAGCCCACAGAGUGAGCCAUUUAUAAAACUUCAGUUACUGCUGCUGGAAGCCACUGACGCAUUUGGUUGCUGGAGCUGAAAUUAAAUGUGCUAUCAGGGGGUCAUCCCUCUUUUCCAUGGGAGAAUCCCUUGGUGAGCCUCUCAGAGGAGGGUGAGCUGACAUCAACUUCUCCCUUGUGCUACAACAAGCCAUGCUGCUUUAAAGAAUCCAAUAUUCAUGUAAAAGAGAGGAAUUGGUUGAAAAUGCUAUCUUGGAGCUGACAGGAGGAUGGGUUCAUAAUACAUACAAGUUCAGGCUGGGUCUCAGAAGCUGCUGGAUCAAAUCCAUGAAGAACCAUGUGGGAAAAAUGCAAGGCCUUUCUGACUGAGCUGAAAUUCCUGCUGUGGCUGCAAAUCAAACCCAGGGACAUCAUCUGGAGCUGCUGGUCAGCCAAGUGGUGUGGCCAAGGAUGUUGAUGUGAUAAUUAUUGUGAUAAUUCCUCUUGC
Molecule: long non-coding RNA, 626 nt
Organism: Zonotrichia leucophrys gambelii
Lineage: Eukaryota; Metazoa; Chordata; Aves; Passeriformes; Passerellidae
Exons: 4
Source: RefSeq, a predicted model, not a curated record